GUAGGUGGCAAGCGUUGUCCGGAAUUAUUGGGCGUAAAGCGCGCGCAGGCGGUUCUUUAAGUCUGAUGUGAAAGCCCACGGGCUCAACCGUGGAGGGUCAUUGGAAACUGGAGAACUUGAGUACAGAAGAGGAAAGUGGAAUUCCACGUGUAGCGGUGAAAUGCGUAGAGAUGUGGAGGAACACCAGUGGCGAAGGCGGCUUUCUGGUCUGUAACUGACGCUGAGGCGCGAAAGCGUGGGGAGCAAACAGGAUUAGAUACCCUGGUAGUCCACGCCGUAAACGAUGAGUGCUAAGUGUUAGGGGGUUUCCGCCCCUUAGUGCUGCAGCUAACGCAUUAAGCACUCCGCCUGGGGAGUACGGCCGCAAGGCUG
Molecule: ribosomal RNA, 372 nt
Filed under: uncultured organism
Description: partial 16S ribosomal RNA
Rfam family: Bacterial small subunit ribosomal RNA
Source: RNAcentral